ACAAAGUCUCCAUACCAAGAGUUCACCGAUUUGCUGUCAGCUAAGCCCACUGCGAAAAUUGCCUAUAUAGAGGACUCUGCUCCUGAGAGGGUUGAGGCCUAAGUUUUGCUAGUUGUUUAUGAAAUACUAGAUAAACUGUUUGACGUUUGGUCUUUCUUUUGAGUACUGCCAAGGUGUUCUGUUUCUUGAUAUACUUGAUGGUUUUAUUUGUAGCACAUCAUUGAAUUUGGUGUCCUUUUGGAGUUGAUUGCAGAAUCAAUUAUGUGAUGCAGCUUGUCCAUUUUUAGUUAAUUAUUACGAGUUCUGUGCAUAAGUUCAUGGCCAGUGAGCGUACACAGAAGGGGGUGGUAUAUUCUGCUGUUAUCCGUUUCUCAAGGAUGAUUCUCCUUCUACCACUGUUGCAUUCCUUUGCAGUUUCCUGUUGCACAGCAAAUAUGACGGUGCAGGCUGUCUCUUAGCCAAUAAGAUCUUGCGUUAAUGCCAAUUUAGUAAUCUUCCAUUGAAUUGAUUCUUGUAGAUGCUUUUUUUUUUUCCCCUAAUUUUUACUAGUGUAGCGUGGAAAUUGCCUUGCAAGAACUAGUGAAACUGCAAAAGGGAUGCUCUGAAUAGUAGAGGCGCCAAAGGUCUUGGCAUGGAGGAUCCAUGCUUGAAUAUAAAUGCAAGAGCUGCAUUUAAGAUUAUCGAGUACAUCAGCGAAACAUAGAAGCAUAUUUACAAAAGCAUGUAGCUAAGUCAACAUGGUUUUGUGGUCUACUGUGUUGGCAAGUUCUCAUUGGCUUCAUUGAUGGUUGUGGCACUCCCUCUCUUAACCAGAAAAGGAGAAAAGAAAAGGGGGAAAAAAAGAAAAAGAAGAAUGGAAAUUUGUUAACAUUUCUCCGAAGGCUGGACUGAUCAAAAUUCAAGUGGUAGAUUUUUGUAAACUUUCAGGCUACUUCGAGUGUGUGUAAUGCAGAUAAUGAAUGCACAAGCUUCAGCCCACAAAAGUAUGGGAGAGGACAACAACACAAAGGGAAUCAAUCAAAUUCUUGCCUAAAUUGGAAAUUCAGCUUCAAGAAGCAAGAAAAUGAGCCCAGACUCGUACCCACGGGACUCUGCUAAGCACAUCCACUAGUCUUUUCUAGCAUUUGUUCUGAUCUUUGAUUCAUAAACACUUAAACGAACCCCCAGCUAAGCCCAGUCCCAGAUGUCUGCAAGACUCAUUUAUACACAUGAACCUGCAUUUGUACUUAAAUAAAUAAUUUUGUUAUUUGAGUAUUACUAACAUUUUUUUACUAGAUAACUAAUGCUCAAUUUAGAUUAACUUGGAACUCAGACUGCAUUAUUAUUAUUGUUGUUGUUGUUGCUGCUACUAUUACUACUACUGUUUUAGUCUACUGCAACAUAAAUUUGAUAUCUUAUAAUUUUUAUUUUUUUUUUGUUUAUUGUAGAAUAGAUCAUAAUCAAGUGCUCAGACUCAUGGUUUUUAAAUAUGGUUAUCGUCUUUUAGGGAAUGAGCUUGGAAAUAGGUCAUUUGGUCUAGAUAAAUGUAAUGAUUCUGCAUUCAGUCAAAUGCUAUCUACCCAUUGAUAUGGGGAUGCCUGCGGUAUGUAAGAUUGUAAGGUAAUACUAAUGGCCAACGUAAUUAUGAGCGGAUAUUGAAUAUGAGCCAAUUGUUUCCUGAGGCUUUCCUCCUGUGAAACCAAAUCACGACCUUCGUCUUGGAGUACAAUAAGUUAUGUCACUUUAUUACCUAGAGCAGUCUCAGCCUCAUCAACAUCGGCCACCAGCUGGUUAAAUUCAUCAACAAUAAUUUUGCCAGUGACAAUUAGUUUUUGGUUAUUCAGCAGACUCUUGGCAUAAUUAAUCCCAGUUACAGGAAAAAAAAAAAGAGAAGAUAGAAGAAUGUCAAUUCUGAUAGAGGCAGAUAAAGCAGCAUGCAAGUAAAGUGCCUGAUUUACCAAAACAGCCUUAACUCGAGCAAGUUGAAGCUCAGACAAGAUCUGAAAGGCUUCAUUGAAAGUUAUGCUGCUUUCCUUUCCAGACUUAGAGGAAGAUGCAAAAAAAGAAGACCUUUCCCCGAGAAACUUUGUCAAGUUUCUGCAAAAGAUCUAUAAUAUCCCAUACGGGGGAUCUGGGCUUAAGAAAGUGUCUUUUGAAAGGAUACCAGAGCCUGAGGAAGCAUGUUUGGCCACAGCAGUUCCUAAUGCCUAUAAAGGGGAAGAAGUGAAGAGGGGAAGUUGGAAAAAUCAAAAUACAUGACUGAGUAAAGAGGCUUGAGCAUUUUGAGAUUCUGAUUCAUCAGUCUUUUUCAACAACGUUCUGAACUUGGAUGUCAGAAUCCUCUUCCCAUGGUUCGUCGUCCAGAUUGUGUUUCGGCUUGGAUUAAGAUCUUGUGUGGUAUGUAGUGUGACCAGCAUCCUUAUGAGAAGGGGCUAAUUGCUUUUGCCCUAACCCUUUCCAGGCCAGGCAAACACAAAGGGUAGUUUUCUAAAACCAGAUACUGUUAUCUAGGAAGGGAACAGACUAGCAAAAACCGAUGGGGGUGGUUUUCUUCGGUGCAUGUGUCCGUUAAACUGUUACUGAAGAAGGAACAGACUAGCAAAACAAUUAUCAAAUAGACAAGGGAGAGGAAUUUUUAGAAGUAAGUUAAUAGGCACUGCGGAGGCCCUGUCCUGAGCCUAGACACGUGGCAGCCCGGAAAGGGAGAGUUGGGCCUGGACCCCAGGCCCCGGACAACUGUCUUGGGACACGCCGCCACUAGGGCUCCAGAAGGGUCCAGGGAACAAUCCCGCUGAGGGCAGGGAGAAUCCCCCUCAGCGCGGGAUUGAGGUCAUACCGGGCAAGUCCUGAAACGUGCGGAGGUCGGACUCUUGAGCAGGUAUAAAUGGUAACGCACACCAACUACACAAGGUACGUUCACUAUUCGCCAAGUACUCCGGACUGCUUUACUUCCCGUGAACUCCACUCACCGAAAAACUAAUUUGACCGUCAGAGUGUCCUCAGGGAUGACCUCGGGGCUCCCCUGUUAGAUCACCCUCUUAUUUGUUUUGCAGGCUUGGGACACGCUCCUCUCAUCAGCACCCCGAGCUCAUCAGGUCAGCUCGGUCAGGGGAAGUUCAGCGCUUUUUCAGUUGGCGCCGUCUGUGGGAACGAAAGGUAAUCGAAGUUGUGUUGAUGGCGAGAACGCGUUCCAUGCAGACCGUGGAGAGCACCGGCCUUGGAGCCGGUGAGGGAUCCCGGCGAAUGGAGACCGGGGAGGAUCCGGGCGCCAGGGGCUCAGCCCUGUCAGGGGAACGGAGACAACAGAUUUUCCAGUUCGUGACAGAGAACCUCCUUAUGCUGGAAGACAUCAUCCGACAGGCGAAGGAGGGGGGCGAAGCCGGUGGCGCACAGACCUCCAAGGUGAAGGGAAAGGAAAAUGAACCACUUCCCGACCCCUUGAAGGAUGAGUCACGCGACCGGCCCCCCAGAAGGAAACGACCAUGGACUCCUCCUCGCCCCCGAGCCUCGGUGGUCGGGGACAGCGAAAGGUACUCCCGCGACAGGUCUGCGGGGAGUAGGCCGAGAGACCCCUCUCCGCGGAAACCUGUGCGGAACGAGCCUGAUCGCUCUCCCGACCGAUCUGUUAAGAGCCGGCCACAAAACCUUCCCCAGUGGAAGCCUGUCCGAGAUGAACUCGAGCAGAUCUUGCGGUCACAGUUGUACGAGGACAACUACAUAAUCUUGCCCUUUACCCGAGAACAAGGAUGGCCCGGCCAAGAAGAACGUCUUUGAUCGGCUCUCGAGGGAGAAAACCCCUGCUCCGCCACCGCUCCCGGAAAAAGGCUACAUCCCCCUGACUCGACCCAGGACCCAGAUCCUGGCUGUCAUGGAGGCGGAGGGCCUCCUGGGAGAUCGGCCGCCUAAGAUAGGGACACCUCGGAACAAAAGGAACCAGGACCGGUACUGCGCCUUUCAUCGUGACGUUGGACACGACAUGGAGGGGUGCUGGGCCCUUCGGAGGGAGAUCGAGGAUUUGAUCUAGCGCGAUUUUCUGGGACGAUUCGUGCGGCAAGGUCGUCCAGGCCAGGAGCCCGGGCGCACCUACCGUGGAGACAGGAGCGAGGGCCAGCGUCGCGACCGCCCUGAGCGACGCGACCUCCCUUUGGGAAGCACCCCCGACCGGGACAUCCAGAACCUAGCGGGGGUGAUAAACACCAUCGCGGGGGGUCCCACGGGGGGGGAUAGCCAUGCAGCUCGGAAAAACAGGCGACCUCCCCCCGAGGGGGAUGAUUCCCUGAAGCGCCUGGGCAUGGAUGAGGAGAUCACCUUCAGGCCAAGGGACGCGGUUCCCCUGGUGUCCGGGAACCACGAGACCAUCAUGAUAGACGUCGUCACCAAUAACUAUCGGGUGAAAAAGGUGUACGUCGACUAAGGAAGUGCGGUUGACAUUAUGUUUUAUCGAGUGUUUAAGGAGUUCGGCCUGGAGGACGGACAGCUGACCCCGGUCCGGACGCCCCUGAUGGGUUUCACCGGACCACCCAUUCACCCAGAGGGGAUGAUCACCCUGAUUGUCACGUUAGGGCAGGCCCCAAAAUGUCGGACCAUUCCAGUCAAUUUCGUGGUGGUCAAACAACAAUCCCCGUACAACGUGUUCUUAGGUCGGCCCGCCUUGAACGCUCUCCGGGCCAUUCCCUUUUCGCUUAACCUCAGCGUCAAGUUCCCUACCUCGGGAGGGAUAGUCGAGGUGCAUGGAGAUCCAGAAGUGGCUAGAACUUGCUACUUGGCCAUGCUUCGGGAACCUGAGAAGGUGGUCGCUCAGACGACUAGCUUGGAGCCCUACAUCUCGGGGGAGGAGGCCUGACAGCUGGGCACCCAGGACGAGGUCAAGGAGUUCCCCUUGAGGGAGGACAGGCCUGACCAGGUCCUCCGCAUCGGUGCGCUGCUACUUUCUGAGGAGAAGGAGAGGUUGAAGGCCUUUCUAAGGAAGUAUUCCCAGGUAUUCGCAUGGACAGUUGAAGACAUGCCCGGGGUUCCGACCGACUUGGCUGUCCAUCACCUCAACAUAGAUCCCCGCUUCAAGCCAGUAAAGCAGAAGAAGAGAAGCUUCGCCCCGGAGCGGAACGAGGUGAUCAAAAAGGAGAUCGGCAAGCUGCUGGAAUCCAAGAUCAUCAUGGAAGUACACUACCCGACCUGGUUAGCUAAUCCCGUCCUGGUGAAAAAGGAGGACCAAUCCUGGAGGAUGUGCGUGGACUUUACAGACCUCAAUAAGGCCUGCUCUAAGGACUGCUUCCCCUUGCCCAGGAUCGACAGGUUAGUAGACUCUACUGUGGGUUUUGACUUUUUGUGUUUCCUGGAUGCCUUCAAGGGAUACCACCAGAUAGAAAUGGCUGAGGAGGACCGGGAAAAGACCUCCUUCAUCACUGAGGAAGGGACUUAUUGCUACCGGACAAUGCCAUUUGGGCUAAAGAACGCUGGAGCUACCUAUCAGCGUUUGGUCAACAAGUUGUUUCAGAAGCAGAUCGGCAGGAGCAUGGAGGUCUACGUGGACGACAUGAUCGUCAAGAGUCGAACAGACCGGCAGCUCGCUCCCAACCUGAGGAAAAUCUUGAACAUUCUGUGGGAAAAUCGGAUGCGGCUGAACCCGAAAAAGUGUACCUUCGGGGUUAGGUUGGAAAAAUUCCUGGGCUUCUUAGUCUCUUGGGAGGGGAUCCGGGCCAACCCGGAUAAACUCCAGGCCAUCAUGGACAUGACCCCUUCGAGGAGCGUCAAGGAGGUCCAGCGGCUCACGGGAAGGAUGGCCGCCUUGAAUAGGUUCCUCUCGCGCUCCGCGGUAAGGGGGCUACCAUUCUUUCGAAUUCUGAAAGCACCCAAGGACUUUCAGUGGACCGAGAAAUGCCAGAAAGUCUUCACCGAUCUAAAGGCAUACCUGGCUGAGCUGCCUGCUCUGACCCCCCCAAAGCGGGGAGAAACCCUGUUCCUAUACUUGUCUGCCUGUAACGAGAUCAUUAGCGCGGUUCUGGUGCGGGAGGACAAGGGGGCUCAGAGGCCAAUAUACUACGUUAGCCGUGCCCUACAAGGGCCGGAAACGCGGUACACGCCGGCAGAAAAAUUGGUCCUGGCCUUGGUGCACGCCGCUCGGAAGCUCCGACCUUACUUCCAGACCCACAGCAUUGUUAUCAUGACGGAUCAACCCUUGCGUCAGAUACUUACAAAGCCUGAGGUCUCGGGCAGAAUGACCAAGUGGGCUGUCGAGCUGGUCGAGUACGACAUUGGCUAUCGGCCUCGCACUGCUAUCAAGGCUCAGGCCUUGGCAGACUUCCUUGCUGAGGGGGCUAGCUUGACCCUGACCGAGUCGAGCUCUUUGCCCACGGACAUACAGCCGGAAGAGUCAUGGGUGCUGUUCGUAGACGGAGCCUCGAGUAAGGAAGGAAGCGGAGCCGGCCUGCUACUCACCUCGCCCACCGGGGAAGAGCUGACCUACACGCUCAGAUUCGAUUUUCUGGCAUCCAAUAAUGAGGCUAAGUACGAGACCCUAUUGACAGGAUUGCGGAUAGCCCACCAGAUGGGUAUAACCGCGAUCAAAGUCCGGAGCGACUCUCAAAUUUGUAGUCCAACAAGUUCGCGGAGAGUACGAGGCCAAGGACGAGGUCAUGAAGAAAUACCUGGCUAAGGUACGAGAGGCAAUAACCCUGUUCGGUACUUGUCGCGCCCCAUUUUUUGAUAAAUAAAUAAAAUGGUUUAAAAAAAUGUAUUUUGUGAUUGGAAAAUGAAUCAUGAUUUAAAAGAAAAAUGGGUCUAAAUGGGGUUUUGAGAAUGUGACGAUUUGACCCAAAAUUAUAGUUUAAAAAGGGUUUUUUGAAAUAAAAAAUUGGAGUCGCCACUUGGUAAUGAGUUAAGCUGUACCAAGUCACCUAAAAAUGAAUUUUUAAAGAAAAAUAGAAAAAAGUAGUAAGAAACCCCUUUUAAACGACUCCUAGUCCACGUAAACCAACGAAAAAGGUUCGGGAGUCACAUUUGACGAAGGGGAAGGCAAGGAUAAAAAUCCAAGGCACCCCUUCAACCUAGCCAAGGCUAGUUGCGUGAUUUAAUCAAAGAUUUUCUUGUUUUAACCAAAGAAUUUAUUACAUUUGGAUGCACUACAUGAAUGCAAACCCUAGACCUAGGGGUAUUGGGGGAAAUUUCUCUUCAAAGGUUGAGUGGUGCCAAUCACAUUAAUUGUGAAGCCCAAUAACGAGCCUUUGAAGAGGUCACGAAUAAUGCGAGUGAGAUGCAAAUGAAUGGAAUGCAUGUAUGCAAUGUGAGAACAUGAGUUUGAAAAAGUAAUAAAAAACAAUAAAUAUGUAAAUGAAAAUGUGCACGUGAGUGGGCAAGGUACGGUAUGUGAAAUGAUAAUAUGAAGUGCAUGUGUGCAAGUGAUGAUAAAAGUGUUCGUGUGCAAGUGAAGGGAUAAAAGGUGUACGUGUGCAAAUGGGAGGAAAAGUGAAAGUGUAAUGAUAGAGUGGAUUUAGAAUGCAUGAGCCUAGGGAAUGCAUGCAUAUUGGGUACGGGGAGACCUAAAUCGUGACUCAAUUUACCCUUUUAUAGAGGGAAUACAAGCGUGCUAAGGCUUAGAAAAAGCCACACUCGUCUAUAUCCCAUACUUAAGGGAACUCUCAAGCAAAUGAACCCUAUAACUAGUAUGAAAUGCAAAAAUCCUAAAAUGGAGGGAAAAGGGGUUCGAGGGGCAUGCAAAAUGAUAAAAAAACUAAAAGAAUGCAUGACAUGUAAUGAACAUGCAAACAAUGCACGAAUGAAAAGGAAAUGGACCUAUUGGGUCUAGCGUUGGACUAGCCCUUUCUAUGAAUUUCUACUAGCAUUGGACUAGUGGAAACGGAACAAUGAACCACAACUAGCGUUGGACUAGUGUGGUGACGGGAAAGGGGGCCACAACUAGCAUUGGACUAGUGUGGUUACGUCCAUUCAUCCAUCACAUUCAUUCAUGACUAUAAAAAGCGAGUAGACAUGCGAAACACUCAUAAACACAUAGCACAUAACAUUUAGCAUGCUCGACUAGAUGCAAGGCCCUAACAAAGCAAAUUGACACUUAACACGUAGGCAUGCAACCAAACUAAUGAACCUAUUACAUUCACUAACUAAAACAAAAGGGGAAAGGGAAAAUGGAUCAAAUUGCUCGCCACAGCCCUAUCUAUUACAAGCCAAGAGGUGUACACAUACCCCAUUUAAAAGAAUAAUUUAAUAAAAGCAAGAAUGAAUGAAAUAAUGGAACUAAAGAAUGGUAAUGAAAGCAAAUUAGGCAUGCGAUUCACACUUAGCACAUUGGAUCACAUAGGAGAGACAAAAGGGAUAAAAGAAAUUAUACCUCCCUUGAAAUGAAGCUCUAAUGGAGUGAAAUCAACUUAUUUACCCUCCAAAAUAAUAAAGGAGUCAAGGUGCCAAUUUAUUUGACAAAUAAUCACAAAGGAUAAAAAUAAACAUGAAUUUGAAUCAAUUAAAUCAUGUCAACAACCCACAUUUAAGAAGUCAAGAGAAGAAAGGACUUGAUUGCAAAGAUUGGCAAAAUUUUGGGGCCAAAAUUAAAGAAAAAUAAAGUUCAGGGACUCAUUUGCAAUUAAACCAGGGACUCAAUUGAAAGGAAUGGAAAUGCCCAGGGCCACAGUACAGUUAUGGAAAAAUGCAGGGGGCUGAUUUGCAAAAUAAUUUUCUGGUUUCUUAAUGGACCAAACCAUUGGGCCAUUUUUCCUUAUUUACUUGGGCCAAAACCUUCCAGGCCCAAUCGGAAAUCCAAAACAAAAGGGAAUGGGCCAUUUUCACUUUCCUUGGGCCAAGAUCACUUGGCCCAAUCGGAAGUCCAAGGAAAAACAAGUGGGCUAGUAUAUUAUUUUGGCCCAAAAAUAGCCAACCAAAUAGAUGGGCCUUGACCCUCUAGCCCAAACCAAAAACCCUAAACAAAAUAAAUCAUACCCAUCCUUACAAACCCGAUCAGAUAUAAUUACCCAAAACCUAAACCAUAAUACUAAGCCCAAUCAACAUAAGCAAAUCAUCCAACAUUAUUAAGCCACAAUUAUGACCCACAAUCAAGAAUUAAUUUAUCCACAAAGUCACAUAAAAUAUGCAAACAGAGGAUUAAAGGAUGAAAUUAGUUCGAUUUUUCCAGAUUUUGAGCCACAAUGAAAUUUAGACAAAAAUUUAGGGGUUAAAUUGCAACAAAAAACAGGGACCCAAAUGAGAGAAAUUGAAAAUUUAUGGGGCCAUAGUGCAACAAAGGGAAACUUGGGGGGCAAAAAUGCAAUUUUCAUGAAGAUCCCAAGCAAACUUCAUACGGAAAGGCUUUCUACAACAAGAAAAUCUGCUGCAACUUUGUUUAUUUUGCGGAUUUCAGCCUUUAGACUCAACUUUCAAGUAAACUCCUCAAGUAAACAUCAAAGCUUCAAUCUAAAGAAUAAACCCAUUGAAACUUAACAUCUAACAUGCAAAAGGAAACUUGGGAUAGAAUCAUGAAGCUCCAGUAGCUUUCUCCUUUCUGGUUUCUUUUCACUACAACAUGCGGCAUUCACCCACCAAAUACAUCAUUCACAAACAUCAACACUCACAAAACACCACUCCCAAUCAUCUACUCAUUCAAAUACCACACUUUUAUUACAAGAUUAAAGUAGAAAAAAUGGACUAAUGACGGCCCGGGAUACAAGAAAUGACCGCAAAAGAAAGACACGAAGUGAAACACACAAUCUUUAACUUUUGUUUGAAAUGCCAAACCAAAAUAUUCAAGAAAAUAUGCUAAAGUUCAGACCCUGAAACAAACAAGAUGCCAGCAUGCUAUGAAUUAAACACUCGACAGAGCAAGAUCACAUGCAAAACAGGAAAUUCUUGUUCUUCCUACAACACUCUGUCUUCGACUUCAGCAUAGGUAGGAAGAUAGCCAUGAAUACAUUGCUGAAGUUCUCAAACUCCAACUCUUAAAGACAUUAGGUCCUAACCCAGAGAGUGAAUACUAAAACAUAGUCAACAUUUUAGGUUCCAACAAGAAAGCAAUCUUCUUUUCGGAUUUAACAUCAAUUAGCGUUUCCGUUCUUUUCAAUCAGCAAUACCAGAGACUUAGUUUCAAAUGCGGCAUUCCCAACAGACAACAAAAUUUACUCACGAAAACUCCCUUUUCAUAUAAUCUCAUGACAUAACUUGAAUUCACAUCAAAAAACAUCAAGCAAAACAGAAACAAAUGCCAAAUAAACGGAUGCCAAACAAACCAUCCGAAUCAACUAUCUUGACAAGCAUGGGCUGGCCGAACGUAUGCAAACAGGAAUCAAUCGUCCAUCAAACAAAAUUUUAAGUUAGGCAUUUUAACAAACAGCAAGUGGGCAUGAGAAAUUCCCGAAAUUCUCCUUUCAAAUGGUCUAACAAUCAGCCCCAAAAUUGUCAUAAAAAAAAACAAAGAAAUUCAGCCCAAUCAAUGUAUGCAUCGUGGGUAUUCAGAAAUUGAAGCCAAUUAACAGGAAAACUCCACUAAAACCAAGGCAGAUCCAUUUCAAAACUAGACAGGAACUGAAAUUUAAAGAGGGAAAAACCAAUAGCUUACCGUGCUCCUGCAUGAAAAUUGGUCGGUGAUGAUGGUGGAGCUUGAGGUGGAGGUGGCCCAGGCCUAGGUGGAGCAGUAGGAGCUGCUGUCCCAUUGGCUGCAGAAGCAAAUGGAGGUUUAUUUGCUUCAAGUGGCUUUGACUUGAAGUAUAGCUGGAGCGUAAACAUUUUAGAGUCUUGAUCUCAGUGUGAGAAGAACUUGGGAGUUGAUUUAUCAAUCGCCGUGCUAGGAACCUUUGUUUUGUCUCUGGAUCAAUUUGCUUUGUCACUCGAUAUCCAGACCUGCCAAUUUUAACGGAUUUUUAAGUGCAAUUUCACGCUUGUGAGGCUGGGGGUUGAGCAGGAGCCUCCUUGGCUUCGCGAGCGGCUCUUUUAGCCAAAUUAGUCUGGUGGCGUUUCCCUUGCGUGUGAGCCAAAUAGUUCCCCUCGUCGUUGUGUAGCAUCAAACACAGCUUGCACUCGUAGUUGCCCAGAUGAUUGCGCAUAAAAUAGGGAUCCUUUGCAAGGUCGAUAGUCUCGAGGGCAAGUCGUCGCAACCGUUCUCGCCGAUCAAUGGCCUCAUUCUGGGCAGAGGCAGCACUUCCGCUGCCUGGCUUCGAAUCCUGUUCUCUAUCCAUCGCCCCUUUGCACUGCCGGAGCGACCCUGUUUCUUUUGCUUUGUUUUCUUUGCUCUGUUUUCCUUGCCAAAGCUCCCCCCUUCCUUCCUUCCCCUGUUUUUCUUUUCCUUUGUUUUUCAGACCAAGUUCUCUCGAUCUUUUCUUUUUUUCCGUCCGCUGCCUGUUUCUUUGUUUUCUUCUCCUUGGCCUCAGACGACGCCCCCUCUGUUUUUUCAUUUUUCUCUGCCAUCAGCCUCCCCUGUUUUUUCCAUCCGCCGCCUUCUUUUUUUUCUCUGUUUUUCCUCCCCUUUUUGCUCUCAGCCCAAGCCUUGUUUUUUUUUGGCCGACCUCCUCCUUUUCUGUUUUUUGGUUUUGCUUUCUCUUUUUUUUAGUUUUUAGCCCUCACAAAAUUCUACUUUGACCCCCAAAAAUUCCUUAACUUCUCAAAUGUCCCUAACACCUCACCCCUUAGGUGCUGAGUUGUCUAAAACAUAGAAAAGACACUUGUCCAAGUGCAUGCAGUCACACUUGUCAUUUUCACUUUUUCUUUCUUUUUCCUUUUCUCUUUUUCUUUUGUUUUUCCUGGAAAUUAAUGUGAAGCCAAAAAUACACUAGAACAAAAAUAAAAUAAAUAACAAUAAUAAAAAUAAAAAUAAAAUAAUAAUAAUAAUAAUAAUAAUAAAAUAAUAAUAAUAAUAAGAAAUGAAAAACCAAAAAUUGAAACAAAUAAAGCUAAGAUGAAAUUAAUUUAAAAAAUCAAAAAUUUGGUGUCUACAGUACUUUUGAAAUCGAGCGGGUACCGAGAUCCCAAAACAAGCGCGCGGACGCCCUGUCGAAACUGGCGUCCUCCUCGUUUGCCCACCUGAACAACGAAGUCUUGGUAGAGGUAGUCAACCAAAAGAGCGUUGACCAGAUCCAGGUCUUGGCUAUAGACAGCUCGGCCACCUGAAUGACUCCUCUCGUGAACUUCCUUAGCUCGGGUGUCCUUCCAGGGGACAAAACGGAAGCUCGCCGACUCCAACUUCGAGUUGCUAAGUACGCCUACGCUAGGAGGGUCCUCUACAGGAGGUCGUACUUGUCUCCCUGGCUAAAAUGUGUGACUCCUGAGGAAGGUGACUAUAUCCUCCGUGAAGUUCACGAAGGCUUAUGUGCGGCACAUGUUGGCUCCCGGGUUUUGGCCAAAAAGUGCCUUCUCCUGGGCUACUAUUGGCCCUCAGUGUUCUAAGAUGCCGCGACACUGGUUCAGAAAUGCCGAGCUUGCCAGGUGCACGCCCCGGUGUGCCACCAGCCAGCUCGGGAAAUGGUUUCCAUCCAUAACCCUUGGCCCUUUGCUCAGUGGGAAAUGGAUCUUCUGGGUCUUUUCCCUCGAGUCCCGGGGAGAUACGAGCACCUCUUGGUGGCCAUUGACUACUUCACAAAGUGGAUGGAAGCGGAGCCCCUGGCUACCAUCUCGGGAAAGGCAGUUCAGAGGUUCUUCUGAAAAAACAUAGUCUGCCGCUUCGUGAUUCCGUAUGUCUUGAUAUCCGACAAUGGUCGCCAGUUCGCCGAAAACUCCUUCAAAAGCUGGUGCGCCGAGCUCUGGAUCAGCCAACACUUCACAUCGGUCGGCCACCCCCAGGCCAACGGUCAGGUGGAAAACGCUAAGCGAACCAUUCUGCAAGGACUAAAAACUAGGUUAGAACUAGCCCAGUCUAACUGGCUAGAGGAACUCCCUAGUGUCCUCUGGACUUACCGCACUAUGCCGAGGACGGCCACCCACGAGACUCCGUUCUCCCUGACUUACGGGGUAGAGGCGGUGGUGCCCGCAGAGAUCGGUCUCCCCUCGCCUCGGACACAGAACUUCGUUGCAUCAGCUAACAAAGAGGAGCUGAGGUGUAAGUUGGACAUGCUGGAGGCCAAGCGUGAGGAAGCGGCGAUACGGAUGGUUAAGUACAAAAGCCAGCUCGCCCGCUACCAUAACGCCAAAGUGAGGAACAUACAGUACCAUCCGGGAGACCCCGUCUUAAAAAAGAACUCGAUCAGCAGAGCUCAUAGCUCCAACAAACUCGACCCGAAUUGGGAGGGACCAUACAAGGUCCUGGAAGCGAGCCGAGCUGGUUACUGCAAGCUCGCGAAGUUGGAUGGAGCAGAGGUCCCCCGCACUUGGCACUUCUCGAAUCUCCGAUUGUUUGUAGCGUAGAUUAGGCCGGGAUAUCUUACUGUCUGUUCUUCGGAAUCCACAUACAAGUUCAUCAUUAAAUAGAUGUUCGACUUUCAAAUUUUAAAUCCACCUCCUGUCAAUGCCGUUUAAAUUUUUAAGUUUAAAUUCUGCACUAGCACACUCAGACAAUGCUAAGUGUCCUAGUGGGGGGGGCUGGGGAUAGAUGGUAAUGGAUGGGGUGCCUUUAAAGUCUUGAAAUUUGAGAGUGGAUGCUCGUCCCAAGAGGUCGGCACGGCUUGAAACUUUUAGGUAUGCUCGACCCAGGAGGUCGGCACGACGGGGAGCCGUUUAAUGAAGUUUGUUGAUACCUUAGCCUGAUGGUCUUUGAUAAUUUAGUGGUUUGCUUACAAGUAUAACAGAUGCUUGGCCCGAGAGGCCGGCAUGCUGCCUUGGUGGAUUUAUUUGGUGCUCGACUCGGGAGGUCGGCACAGGGCUUUGAUGGCUAGAGUUUGGCGCAGGCCAGACUUGUCAGAUAAUUUUCUUCGAGUUUUAUAUAUGCAUUCAAAUUCUAUCUAUUACAAAUCCUAUCUAUUACAAAGCCUGCCGAGCUAUAGAAGGAAGAUGGAAAGGGUUUUUGGAGUGGUCGCUACCCUUAGGCGGACAAACAUCUAGCAGAUGACUGCUGACAUGAGGAAAACACGGCAACAGGUCUUACGCACUGGGGGAGCUAGUGAUGCUAGAUAUCCGCGCCUUUCACACUGGGGAAAGAUAUGCUUUCUCUCUAUCCCAGAUAUGAAAGUCUGGCUAUGUACAGCUCAUUUCCCUCGGCACCCCUAAGCCACCGGUUCCUUCCCGGAGCCCUGCCGGGAGCCUCGUCCUCCUACAAGGGAACCUCCGCCAGAUUGGCUCCCACAUCAUCUCUGCCCACCAGGUCCUUCAGGGCAUGCCCCUUGCAAUACCCAUCGAAAAGCCAGUCCAGCUUCUCCUCAGAGGCGGGGUUGUAGUUUUUAAAAUCCGCCAAGUUGAAGCUAGACAAGUUGAGGCCCUUCACCUGGUCCAGGGCCCGCGUGAAGCCGACCUGGAGGAUGGGCUGGUUGAGGAGGGCGACGUCCUCGGCAAACUGCUGGGAGGAAAUGAACUCCCGAACAGCCUUCUUCCGUUCCCGGCUGACGGUGCCGGAGAGCUCGAUGGCGUGGUCCUCCCUCAGCUUUGCCACGCCCGCCUUCUCCUGGUCGAGCUCCGACCUGGUGGAGGCAAGCUGGAUCUGGGCUGUCUCCAGCUCCUUCUCAGCCUUGCCCAAUUUGGCCUUGAGAGAGUCCGCCUCCUUAAGGGCCUGGGUAAGCCUCUGCUCCGUAUCUCGGUUCUUCUUUUGCAAUUUCUCCAAGUCGGGAGACAGAUUGGAGAAGCGGGUUACCAGGGCAGCACCAGCGGCGUUGGCCUGAGGAAAAGGGAAAAGAGGUCAGCACACGGCGUGACUCAGCGAAAAAGCGGAGGCACAACUGGACCAAGGGGUAAGGAAUUUACCUGAGCUUGGGCGGUGAAGUACAUAUCCUGGAGCUCGGAGGGACUGGCAAGUUCCAUCCACCUCCUGUCGCGUGGAAGGACCGAGCCCGUUACCAACUCUCGAGCCACCUCGGGGAACUGGACUCGGUCGUUGAUGGACAGCCCUCAGGAGGGACAGAAGCGGCGGGGGUCGUGUAUGGAAGGGGCCUGGCCCGGCUUCAAGGGGGCGAUGUGGCGGAAGUGCCACAGGCUAGGGGGCGGCAUCUCCCGCGCGUGCUCCUCCGAUGAGCCGACCCCCAAAUGGACCGAGCCCACAUGAGGGGCUCCCCCCGACGUCAGCAGGGGAGGGGGCUGGGCUGAGGUGAGCGCAAGCCUCUUCUCGGGCUGGGAGGCUUCGUCCCCUCGGCCCCUCUUCUGCCCAGCCGCUUUCUUCUUACUGGCGGCCUGCUUGGAGGGGGAGGAGUGGGAUGCUUCCUUCUGGGGGCUCGAGCUGCCCCCGGGAUUCGGAACUGCCUCAGAGGCCUUCUUGGCGGCCUCCGGCUGUGGAGUCGGGGCAACCGGCUCGGAGGGCGCGCCUAGCAAUUUUGAAAGCCUUCUCACUGCAGCAAAUACCGCCAGAUCAGCUAAAACAGGUCAGUAUGAAAAGAUAUAAUACAUAUAUGUAAAUACAACGAGCUGCAGGGACAGAGUCGGCGUUACAGGUUUCGAGGUCGGCAGGGGAGGCCACCACCUCUCCAGGGGACCCGGACAACGUCCCCAUCAGCCCGGCCGCAGAGACCUGCUCGGUGGAGAACUUGGCGGCAUAGAGCUUCACCUUGGAGCUCACCAGUUGGCCGAGGGUUUCGGGGUCCAGAUCCUCCGGGUAAGGGUCGGAGUCGACCUCCCCGACUUUCCACACGUUCGGGGGAAAGUUCGUGGAUUUUACAAAGAAAAAGUCCCCCUUCCAGUUCUUUAUGGAAGACGGGACCCCGAAGAGAAGAUCCUGGGUGCCCUUCCCCCCGACCUUUGUUAGCGGUUCGGCGGGAGAAAUAGUACCACCCAGGAAGGGAGAGUUUGAGGGUGUAAGAGGCUCGGAAGAGGGAGAGAGAAUAGGGGAUGGCGCAGAUCUGACAAUAGAUCAGGAAUCCAAUAAUAAUUCUGAUCGAUUUGGGGUGGACCUGGGUGAUCCGGAACCCCCAGUAGCUCAGGAUCUCAACCAGGGCUGGAGGAAUUGGGAGACGGAGCCCUGCGACCAGUUGCUCCUUAUAGAUGGCUACGAAGUCAGGGGGAGGUCGGCAAGCUCGGUCGUCGGGCCCGGCGGCCCUCGGCUCGAAGGCCGGAGGAAUGGAAUAAGAUUCGGCCAGGUCGGCCAAUGCUCCGGACGAGAGGGUGACCUCCUGCUGGUCGGAGUGAUCGUAGGUGAAUACAGGAUCAUCCCCCUGCUCAGAGGCAGGGGUCCCCUCGGAGGAAUUCCUAUCCUCGCCUGCCCCUCCCUAGACUCCGCCAGGGGAGUCAUGCGGGAAAUUAGGGGAGGGUACGGAUGUGGCCUGCCGCUCGAUGAGGGUAUCGAUUUCGGCCACCUCCUCCAGCAUUCGGGCAGAAGGAGAAUGGGCAGAUGGGGAACUCAUAAUAUCAAUGGGCUCGAGCAAGUCAGGAAUGGGGAAGUGAGAAUUGGAAGCAGAGGAAGAAGAAAGAGGGGGGAGAAGAUGAAGAUGAAGGUGAUGAUGAGGAUGAAGACGAGGAGGAAAUGAGGAUCCUAAGGGUUCUACGAGAUGUGGGGGAGGUCACGCCGGACUGAUCCGACAUAAAAAGCAGAAGGAGGCAAGAUAAUGCGGAAGAAGAAGAAAAAGGACUUACUGAUGACUGGAAAGAUGGGAGAAUCGCCGGAAUCUGGGCACUGGAAGCCGGAAGCCUUGUUACUGGGAAUUGAAAACGCACGAAGGAAGGAGCAAAUGGCAAAUAGAGUCGGGUGAAAUCUGAUGACCCUUAUUUAUAGGGGGAGAAAUGGGGGGAAAACGGUUGUUUGAAAUUGAACCAUCCCCAUGUGAACGCAUUUAAGAACGGUACGGAAACCGAAGGGACGCGACAACUAAAAGGACAAGGGCGCUGCUUUUCAGUGACAGCACUGUGCCAGAGGUGACCCUGGCAGAGUGAUGCGCGGUGCUGGUCUUCCACGUGGCAGAGGUGUAGAUUAGGUCUGCCUGGAAGCUCAACCUAAUCUAGGGGGCUAGUGCGGAGGCCCCGUCCUGGACCUAGACACGUGGCAGCCCGGAAAGGGAGAGCUGGGCCUGGACCCCAGGCCCCGGACAACCGUCCUGGGACACGCUGCCACUAGGGCUCCGGAAGGGUCCAGGGAACAAUCCCGCUGAGGGCGGGGAGAAUCCCCCUCAGCGCGGGAUUGAGGUCAUACCGGGCAAGUCCCGAAACGUGCGGAGGUCGGACUCUUGAGCAGGUAUAAACGGUAACGCACACCAACUACACAAGGUACGUUCGCUAUUCGCCAAGUACUCCAGACUGCUUUACUUCCCGUGAACUCCACUCACCGGAAAACUAAUUUGACCGUCGGAGUGCUCUCGGGGACGACCUCGGGGCUCCCCUGUUAGAUCACCCUCUUGUUUGUUUUGCAGGCUUGGGACACGCUCCUCUUAUCAGCAUCCCGAACUCAUCAGGUCAGUUCGGUCAAGGGAAGCUCAGCGCUUCUUCAGGCACCAUUCACCAAUUUGCGUUUUUGGCCACCGCUUACGUUCCAUAGAAUUCUCAUAGAAGAUAUUGGACAAAGAUCUGCUCUCAUAGAAGAAUAACAUCAAGGUCAGUGCAAAGCUUUUGAUAAACUAUACGUCGUUAUUUUAAAUAACUUUUUACUUUGCAUUACAAACACAAAUUUUAAUCACAAUUUUAUCUCACAUAUAUAACAGUUCAAAAAGUAUUACUCCCUCUAUCUCAUUGAAAGUGUUAUACUUUCUAUUUUAGAAUGUCCGAAAACAAUUAUCAUGUUAGAAAAGUCAAAGUAUCUUUUAGACUCUCUUUCCAAUAUAACCCUUCUUUUUAAUCAUAUGAAUGUCACCAUUCAAAUUUAAAAUUUGAAUUUGUGGGGGUAAAUUGAAAAGAGACGCACAAAUAUCACAAUCAAAUCACUAUUUUUAAAAAGUUAGAUUCCUCAACUGUAACCAAAUAAAUGGGACGGAGUGAAUGUAUAAUUAUUUUAAAUAAUCUCCUAUCCAAACUCACAAAUCAAUCUCGCAAAACUAAGAUAUGAUGCCCACCAAAGCACAAAUUCUUUAGAGUAGCAGGUGUGUGGGCUUGGAGGUUGAACAUAGCCAUGGCCUCAUCCAGAAGAAACAGGUAACAAUUGAGAUCAUUGGAGGAAAAAUUACUUCUUUCAAAACGGUCGAAAUUACAAGACCAAUCUCAAUCAGACCAAAUUGUCCGUCCAACAUGUUGGCAGGAUAAAAUUCAGUAUUGGAUUUAAUUUGUUUAAUUCCAUUUUGGAAAUACCAGUAGUAUUUUUUCCCAAUUCAUGUGACUUUAUAAAAUGCUUUAGUAAGAACUUUUUUUUUCUCUUAUUUUAAUGUAAAAGGUUAGUACAUAAAGUAAUACUAGUCAAUUCACAUAAUCUAUACAGAAAAAACAUACAUAAAUUGCACAUGAAAGUACUAUUCUCUUCAUUAGAUUAAUUUGAUUGCUAGAAGAAAAAUUUUCCAUUCAUUGGAUGCGGUUCCAGGUAAUUAAUUAUAUACUUUAUAUAUCAAAAAUCUAAAUGUGUUUAUAUAUAGUAUUCUUUUUUCUUUGCCACAAAGAUAAUAUUCUUAUAACCUAAUUUAUCCUAUUCUACAGGAAGGAGGAGUCUAAAGAGAUUGUAUGAUGAGCUAGCAGGUAUACAGAUUCGAUUAGACCAAAGGGGUGUUUUGACAUUUCUUUUGAAUUUUUUUCACUGCAGAUAAAAUUUGAAUCCCCGAUCUACAGUGAAAAGUCAAAAGAGAGAGUUAAUUUCUUUUUAGUGGCCACAGAGCUAAAGCUGGGUGGUUGUUUAUAUAUAGUAUUCAGCUGGUUGAUUUGCGCAACUCACAUUAUUAUGUGUUCCUUGCAUUCCAUCAUUUUUGUGCUCGUCCGCAAGUUGUGAUCUGCUAACUAAGUUCUCUUUUUUGGUACAUGGGAUCCUUGGUGUCAUUUUUCAGUGGCAAUUCAGUAUCACUUUUAUAUUUAUGUCAAAUAUUUUGUUUAUUUAAGUUAUCACGUGCUCUUUAAUAAUUCAAAUUAAUUUAUUUUAACUCAAGUUUUCUUUACUCUCACGUAAUAAGUGGAAUUGACACUAGUGUUGAUACCGAGCAACAAUGUUUUAAAAAUCGGACCGUUAAUUGAACCGAUAAAGUGAAAGGGUCGAGAUUCAACCAGUCGGACUGGUUUAACCUCGGUUCAAAAAAUUUUUUAACAAAUAAUUUAUAUAAAUAUAUAUAUGUGCACAAAAUAAGAUAUGUAAUGGACUAAUUUAAUACUUUAUAUGAUGAAAAGUUUACUAUUUUUUAAUAACUUAGAUUUUUAAAAAUAAUUUUUUUAAAUUAUAAGUUAAAACAAAUAAAUUUCAUUUCAAUUUCAAUUAUAUCUAAAUCCAACCCAAAAAUAUCACAAUAUUUUGAAAUUAUACAAAAUUUACUUCUAUGAGAAUUUAGACAUUGUGAACUUAAAUUUUAAUUUACGUUUUGGGAUUUAGAGAUUGCAAUUUAAAAAAGGAAAUUUUGAAUUCGAAGGAAGUCAAGAGAAUCGAAAAUAGAAAUGUAAACUUGAUAAUAAACAAAAAAUGAGAUAAAAGUGAGUGGUUGUGGCAUUAAAUAAUUUGGGUUAAAGAAAAAUAAUUCUUUUUUAACUUUUUUCAAUUUAAUGGACAAAAACAAAAUUAAAAGAUGGAAGAAAACAUCAAUAAAUUAAAAAUAAAGAGGUUUGAUUAAAAAGGGAGUGAUAAAAGAAAAGAGAAUAGAGAGAGAGAGAGAGUUGAAAAUUAAAAAGAAAGAGCCAUGAGAGAAUGAGAUUUUGUAAGAAAAAUGAAAAAAAUAUGAAUGUUUGUUUUAUAUAAAUAAGUUAUAAAAAAAAACUAAUAAAUGUGAUGGUGCAACGGUUAAUACAUUGGUUUUCUAUUACAAAGGUCUUGAGUUCGAAUCUUGAUAGUUGCAUUUUGCAAAACUAAAAAAAAAAAAAGGGAAAGUUGAAAACCGGAAAACCGCCGGUUCACUGUUUAACCGGGUUUUUGAUCGGUUUUUUGCCAAAGUCAACAAUGCCAUAGAAUCGGACCGGUGUCAUGGUCGGUUCACGGUUCAACCGAUCGAAUCGGCUGGUCCGGUCCGAUUUUCAAAACAUUGCCGGGCAAUGACAUUGAGAAUCCCAAUUGCUUUUUUGGUGUGCCAUUUUAAUCAAUUGUUAUGAACGUUUAAAUGGUUGAGGUAAUAGUAGUACGAUUUUUCCAACUCAGAUUCAAAACCAACUAUAACGAAAACAAUCCAAGUUUAUAGUUGAACUUUUGAAAUUGUCGAUGUUUAGAGAGAGUAGAAAUAGCAAAAACUUGGGUAGACUUGAUAUUUGCUCCACUCGUAGAAUGACUGACCCAGAAUUUUCAUGUUAUCUAGCUCAACUCAAGUAUAAUUCUCAAACUAAAACCAAUACUUCUGGCUCUUUAGAAAAAUGAUAUAACCUCCGAACGAGUUAUUUGGAUCCUUACACAUGAUAUAUACACUCAAGUUGAGGAUAUAUACUUAGUUUAAAAACUCUAUUUCACACGUGCUACUUUUGUCUUGCAACUAAGGAUGAUAAUCAUGUUAGUAAUAGAAUUAGUGACUAUACUUUAGGUAUUUUAUAUGAUGAGAAAUGGAUUAAUCCACUGUACUAAAAUGCACUUGUUGUAUAGAAAUGAGGUGCCUUUGUGAUCAAUACAAGUUUCUUAUUAUUUCAACAAAAAAAAAA
This 20697-nucleotide long non-coding RNA is filed under the name Coffea arabica (coffee). RNAcentral's name for it is "long non-coding RNA (CARA_LNC007417)". The record is from RNAcentral. Lineage: Eukaryota; Viridiplantae; Streptophyta; Magnoliopsida; Gentianales; Rubiaceae.